This 253-nucleotide ribosomal RNA is filed under the name uncultured bacterium. RNAcentral's name for it is "partial 16S ribosomal RNA". It matches the Rfam family "Bacterial small subunit ribosomal RNA", at positions 524 to 776 of the family's 1533-position model. The record is from RNAcentral.
UACGUAGGGUGCAAGCGUUGUCCGGAAUUAUUGGGCGUAAAGCGCUCGUAGGCGGUUCGUCGCGUCGGCUGUGAAAUCCCGAGGCUCAACCUCGGGUCUGCAGUCGAUACGGGCGGACUGGAGUUCGGCAGGGGAGACUGGAAUUCCUGGUGUAGCGGUGAAAUGCGCAGAUAUCAGGAGGAACACCGGUGGCGAAGGCGGGACUCUGGGCCGAUACUGACGCUGAGGAGCGAAAGCGUGGGGAGCGAACAGG